GGUUCCGUGGUCUAGUUGGUUAUGACAUUUCGUUAACAGUUAGUUGACGCCACCGAAAAGGUCCCCGGUUCGAGCCCGGGCGGAAUCA
RNAcentral lists this transfer RNA (88 nucleotides) under Trichoderma harzianum. RNAcentral's name for it is "tRNA-Val". RNAcentral also lists the same sequence under 10 other names. The record is from RNAcentral. Lineage: Eukaryota; Fungi; Ascomycota; Sordariomycetes; Hypocreales; Hypocreaceae.